RNAcentral lists this non-coding RNA (465 nucleotides) under unclassified sequences. RNAcentral's name for it is "Giant, ornate, lake- and Lactobacillales-derived (GOLLD) RNA". It matches the Rfam family "Giant, ornate, lake- and Lactobacillales-derived (GOLLD) RNA". The record is from Rfam by way of RNAcentral.
GUGGUGAGUUGUAUUCAGCAUUCCAAAAGAUUGUUGAGCAACAGUGGCAGCUCAUCGCGGUAGGUUGCAAUUAGCCUAAUGGUAAGGCAUCAGUCGCUUAAACUGGAGACUGUAGGUUCAAAUCCUACAUUGUAAAUCAAAAAUGCAAAGACUGCCACGGUCAUGUGUGAAAAGUAUCUAAUACUUGACACGUAAGUGAAUCAAGUUUAGUGAAGCUCGCAAGGUGACACUAAUUUGUGGAGGGGGGUUCGUAAGUGGUUAGCACCACCGAAUAGCUCGCAAGGCUAACGGAAUGGAAUCCGCAGAAUAGCACAUGAUGACAAGACUACAGCCUGUCUUUAAAAACGGCGAUACUGGUAACAGACAUAGAUACCGAAAGGGUUUAUGUGGAUGUCAAGAGAAGGUAUGCUCGCAAGGUGUACUAUAAUGCUUGAGGUGUUACUGGUUAAGAUGUAAUCUCAGUCU